This 99-nucleotide non-coding RNA is filed under the name Eubacterium infirmum F0142. RNAcentral's name for it is "Bacterial small subunit ribosomal RNA". It matches the Rfam family "Bacterial small subunit ribosomal RNA", at positions 1 to 93 of the family's 1533-position model. Lineage: Bacteria; Bacillati; Bacillota; Clostridia; Peptostreptococcales; Anaerovoracaceae. The record is from Rfam by way of RNAcentral.
CUAAUUGAGAGUUUGAUCCUGGCUCAGGAUGAACGCUGGCGGCGUGCCUAACACAUGCAAGUCGAGCGAGAAGUAAAGAAAUGAAGCUUCGGUAGAUUU